This 858-nucleotide long non-coding RNA is filed under the name Marmota monax (woodchuck). The stretch from base 157 to 286 matches the Rfam family "U8 small nucleolar RNA". Lineage: Eukaryota; Metazoa; Chordata; Mammalia; Rodentia; Sciuridae. The record is from RNAcentral.
AAUGAACCCUCACAUUUACAUCAAUUUGAAAUCCAAAACAACUCAAAAGCGAAAGAACAGUCUUCAAUUAGUACUGGGACAACUGGACAUGCACAUGCAAAGAAUGAAAUUGGAUAUACAAAGUUAACUUAAAAUGUAUCAAAAGUAUAUAUGUAAUUGUCAGGUGGGAUAAUCCUUACCUGUUCCUCCUUUAGAGGGCAGACAGAACAUGAUGAUUGAAGUUCAAAUGGUAAGUGAUUAGCAUCUCUGCUUAAUUAUGACCUGCAACACCCUGAUUGCGCCUGAUUCUAAAAAAAAAGAAGAAAAAGAAGAAGAAUGUAUAUGCAAGAAUUAAAACCAAAAAGUUCUUAGGAAAAAACAGACACAAAUCUUCAUGACUUAGGUUAGAUGAUGGCGUUUUAGAAUCCCAAAAUAACAAGAAACCAAAGAAAAACUGAAAAAUUGGACUUGAUGAAAAUUAUAACUUGUCUUUAUCGUUCAAAAUACAAAUUAAAGAAUGGGAGAAAAUACCUGCAAGUAAAACAUUUGAUAAGGGUAUAUUUAUAUUUAUAAUAAUACAGAAUUAUUAUCACUCAAUAAGACAAUCCAAUGUAAAAACAGAUAGCAAACUGGAAUAUCCAGUGAGGAUAUGCAAAUGGACAUGAAAAAAUGCUCAAUAUCAUUAGUUCCCAGAGAAAUGCAAAUUAAAAUGACAAAGAGAUACCACUUUAUACCCACUAGGAUAACCAUUAUCAAAAAUAAUUAACAAGUAUUGACAAGGAUAUGAGAAAUUGCAAUACUCAUUCACUAAUAAUGGGAAUAUAAAAUGCGCUGAGAAACAGGUAACAGUUCCUCAAACUAUAAAAUAUAAAGUAACCA